This 103-nucleotide microRNA precursor is filed under the name Marmota monax (woodchuck). Lineage: Eukaryota; Metazoa; Chordata; Mammalia; Rodentia; Sciuridae. The record is from RNAcentral.
AGUGGAAUGAUUGGGUCAAAUGGUAUAUCCAUUCCAAGUGUUCUGAGGAAUUGCCAUACUACUUUCCAAAGCGAUUGCACAAAUUUGCAGUCCCACCAGUAAU